Molecule: long non-coding RNA, 236 nt
Filed under: Carica papaya (papaya)
Lineage: Eukaryota; Viridiplantae; Streptophyta; Magnoliopsida; Brassicales; Caricaceae
Description: long non-coding RNA (CPAP_LNC015823)
Source: RNAcentral
UUUAACUCAUUGUCAUCUGGGACACACACCCUGUCUUAGAAACGAAGUAGUCCAUCGGUAGAUAUUCGGAAUUCUGAGCUCCCUCCCUGUUCUGCAUCCUUCUUGCAGGCUACCAGGGCGGGGUCAACUGUCUGGGCUUCCCUUAUUCUCUGAAUUAACUCGGGCUGGACUGUCAGGCGGCCCAAACAUGUGACUCUCUUCAGAUCAUGAAGUCGAACUUGUUGUGUGGCCCUAAU